This 963-nucleotide long non-coding RNA is filed under the name Mytilus galloprovincialis (Mediterranean mussel). Lineage: Eukaryota; Metazoa; Mollusca; Bivalvia; Mytilida; Mytilidae. The record is from RNAcentral.
UGUUGAAAUAUUUUAUUGUUAUGGUUCUAUUAUAUUUUCUUUCGAAUGUUUGUUUCACCGACAACCACACGUUGAUGAAAUUUUAUACAAUAGGUUUGGAAAGGGAUAUAUUUCAAUAGAAUUAGAGAAAUUGUAUUAUAUGUAGCAAAUGCAGACAUCAAUUUCAUCACGAAUAAACAAACUGUGUAGAUAAUAGUACAAACGUUGUUACCACCGUCUUGCACUGUACCUAGUUCAUCAGAAAAUAAAACAACACCAAAGAGCAAAUCAAUUAAACUACCAACGUGACUGUAGGUAAAAACUCAAGAAGUUUUUAGCUCAUCUGGCCCGAAGAGCCAAGUUUUGAAAAUGUGUCCGGUGACCCGGCCAACCAACCAACCAUGGCUAAAAAUAGAACAUAGGGGUAAUAUGUAGAUUUUGGACUAUAUCUCUGAAAAAAAUAGAACAUAGGGGUAAAAUGUAGAUUUAUAGAUAAUGUUCAGCAAAGUAAAAUCUACAAAUAGGUCAACAUCCCUUAAGGAGUUAUUGCCCAUUAUAGUCAUUUUUUACAAUUUUUUCAUAAAUUUUUGUAAUCUUUACAAAAAUCUUCUCGUCUGAAACCACUAAGACAAAUUUAACCAAACUUGUACACAAUCAUAAUUGGGGUAUUUAGUUAAAACAUGUGUACGAUAACCCCACCUGCGAACCAAGAUGGUCGACAUGGCUAUAAAUAGUACAUAGGGUCCAUACAAUGCUGACACACAGCUGCCUUGGUAGGGUAUUAAUUAUAGCUUCAACAAUGAGACGUCACAAAAAAUGAAUAACAAUUAUAGAUCCAACAAUCACACAACACAAACUAACAGCAGGGAUAACAUGUUAUGAAAUGAAAAACAAAUAGUUCUUUGUUUUGAACUAAUUGAAAAAUUCUAAAUGAUCUUUUAAACAAUAUAUAUAUAUAGCAAAAAAAACAGGUGUUUAUUGUUG